RNAcentral lists this long non-coding RNA (1070 nucleotides) under Homo sapiens (human). RNAcentral's name for it is "HSALNT0391311". Lineage: Eukaryota; Metazoa; Chordata; Mammalia; Primates; Hominidae. The record is from RNAcentral.
CUCAGUCCUACCCACUAUAAACCUAAAUACCAUGGUAAGCUAUUACAGCAUUGGGAACAGAUGGUGAAGUUUUCCAUAAAAGAGAAAGGGAAACAGACCUGUCUGAAGCAAGAAAGCCUGUGUGGAUGAAUAUUGCUUCCAGGAGUCACAUAAUUACAUCUAAAAUCAUAGAAUGUUAGAGCUGGAGGAAUCUUUAGAGUUUGCCCAAGGUCCUUCACCAGCAUUUUACAGAAGAUUCUUCGAUUUAACUGCUCUUAAUUACAUCCCGUUGCACUGGCCCCAUCAAGUUGCUUUAAACAGCCCUUCUAGUCAACAGAGCUGCAGAGAAAAACCUUGGUUGGUUCAGGUCACUAGGAUGCAGAGCUGUCACACUUCAUUUGUGAGAACACUCCAGAGCUUCCUCCAGCUGCUGAUUCCAAACCAGCUUCACACUCCUUCUGAAUCCAAGGCAAAUAAACAAACUAUGCAAAGAAAUCAAACAUGACUUCUUCUUGGUCCUAUAAGAAGAUUGUUCAUGCUAUGCUUGUUAGAAGAGUUACAUGUAUACCUAUGAUCUUCGAAGACUAAAGAAAAUAUCAAGGAAACGUAUUUCAAUAAUGAUAUGGUCAAGACAUAGAGUUUCUUAUAUUAAUAAUACAAAGUUCACUUUCUGAAAAAAUGCACAUAUUGUUUAAGAUCGUCACAUAGUUUAUAUAUUUUAAUCGCUCCAUAAUUACGGAAUUAUUUUAAAUAAUAGCAAUAAUUAUAAUUGUAGUAUUUAAUGUCAAUAUUUCUACAAAUUAUAUUUAAGUAAAUAAGUAUAUUGUGAAAGGAGAGGGAUUCAGGAUCAGGGGUAUGUUCAAAAAUCUAUUUGUUUUUGUCAUUGUUGAAUAAAAAUCUCCCAUCUCAAAAUCUUUGUAAAAGGAUAUCCAUGGAAAAAAGAACCUAUUACUUUAUUCUCCAGUCAAAAUUAAAACUGGUUCACAAUGGCCACAUCUUCUAUUUAUACAUAAAACACAGCUUUUAACAUAGACUAAUUUUUGUCUGUUAAAAAUGAAAUUGAGAUUCAGUAAAGAUGGAUUCAAAUUCAA